This is a long non-coding RNA of Taeniopygia guttata (zebra finch), 1348 nucleotides long. RefSeq lists it as uncharacterized. Lineage: Eukaryota; Metazoa; Chordata; Aves; Passeriformes; Estrildidae. The record is from RefSeq and is a predicted model, not a curated record.
GCCCCUUCCUCGGGAGCUGCCCCAGCUCACACCACAGGGAAGGUGGGAAUCUCACCUGGCUUCUGCUGCCUCCAUCCAAGUGCAGGGGAAACCACAGUAACAAAUACUGCUCACACUCAUCCACAUCCCCCAACUUUAAUUUUAUGCUCCUGUGGAGGAUUUUAUUUAAAGUAAUGUUUAAAAGUAAUUUAUGUAAAUUACCUAAGAGCAGAAGCAGCAAUGUAACAUUUCUUGACAGGUAGUCCUAUUAGCAUUCUUUUAAAUUGUGGAUAUGGAGGACAAAAACUUGGAAACAUGUAAAUGAUAGAAGAAAUGAGAUCCUUAUUCACAGUUACAAUACUUAGGGCUGAAGAUAAUCUCAGGAAAAAAUGCCAAAUGGAGUCCAAAGCAUAAAAUUAAGAGAAAAUUCAGAAGAGAGAAAAAGCAAAUGGAAAAAUACCAGGAAGUGGCGAGUGAGGACUUGUGAGCUUUACCCUCCUCCUCCUCCCCAGCCAGUGACCACCCCCAAGUCACCUGCAAUCCCUCUGGAAGCCAGGGGAAGAUUCACUGUGACUUAUCUGGGUUUUCCUCGUGUCCCCGGAGCAGCUGGCUUAGCUUGUUUGCAGGUUUGGAUGGCCAGCUCAGACAGCAAUAAUUUCAUUUUCCAGGUGUCUCCCCUAAGCACAAGUGACUCGCAUUUCAGUGCUGGCUUUGUGCUGGACCUGCAGCGUGACACACCCAGAACUCUCCACUCUCUCAGGAAAUCCAGCAAAAUUCCAUUGUGCUUCUCCAGAAGCCUGUGACACGUGAGCCUAGGACCAGAGGAUUUUUAUGCAGUUUUCAGCCUUAUUAUUUAACAAGAUCUCAGCAGAUGGCCCUUCCUGCAGCUGGCCACCCCAGGAAAGAACUUCACUGAAAGAACUUCACUGAAAAAACGUCACUGAAAGAGCUUCACUGCCCUGCACUGCCACUCUGUGACACAGAGGUGUUUGCUCUCAAAGGAGUGGAAAUGCUGGAAACGCAACUCAUUAGAAACAGAAAUGGAGGCUCAUUAACACAAAUGGUGUAAUAAUUUCUGUGAUCUUCUGAGCUCCUGAUGAACCAACAUUCAGCACCCACCAAAACAAAUGGAACAAUGAAAGGCAUUUGCCCAAAGAACUUCCACUUCAAGUACGCUUAUUUUUUUCUGAGAAAGCACUUGAUACUAAGCAGUGCCCUACUUUGGCAGGUAUAAAAUAAAACUGGUUAUUAAUUUUCAAUACUGAUGGCAAAAGGAUUAACUCAGCGUGUCUUUCAUUCAUUAAUCAUUUCAGAAUUAAAUAACCAAAUGCUGCUCUUAGAUUGCUUUUUGAAAGGAUGUAAAAAUAAA